This is a long non-coding RNA of Drosophila teissieri, 308 nucleotides long. RefSeq lists it as uncharacterized. The transcript is spliced from 2 exons. NCBI's taxonomy places the organism in Eukaryota, Metazoa, Arthropoda, Insecta, Diptera, Drosophilidae. The record is from RefSeq and is a predicted model, not a curated record.
AAAAUUAAAAUUUUCCGGUUAAUAUAAAGUGAUGAAAAAAUAGUUUUUAAAGACGAACACGUUCAAUAAAGAGUUUAUUUCAUCUUGAAACAAUAUGAGCUUCGCUAAUUUUCUUUUGUUCAUUGUGCUUAUAGUUCCACGAUGUCGGGCUCCGGCUUGUUUUAACAGGAUGAAAUUGGAACCGGAUAAUUAAAUCUCAUCUCAGUGUGUUUCAGAUUUAUAGGAAGUGGUAUAUUUGCCUAAUAAUUACUGAAAAAAAAAUAAUCAAAAUGUCUAAAUUUUUAAAUACAAGAAUCAACAACCAGUAA